This 252-nucleotide ribosomal RNA is filed under the name uncultured bacterium. RNAcentral's name for it is "partial 16S ribosomal RNA". It matches the Rfam family "Bacterial small subunit ribosomal RNA", at positions 524 to 776 of the family's 1533-position model. The record is from RNAcentral.
UACAGAGGGGCAAGCGUUAUUCGGAAUUAUUGGGCGUAAAGGGCGCGUAGGCGGCUUGGCAAGUGGAUGGUGAAAUCCCUCGGCUUAACCGAGGAACUGCCGUCCAAACUGCUUCGCUUGAGACCGGGAGAGGUGAGUGGAAUUCCCAGUGUAGCGGUGAAAUGCGUAGAUAUUGGGAGGAACACCAGUGGCGAAGGCGGCUCACUGGACCGGUACUGACGCUGAUGCGCGAAAGCGUGGGGAGCAAACGGG